CCCUAUGGGGUGCAGCAGCUGAGGAAAUUUUACAAUGCUCGAAAGAGUGAUAGAAUGAACCAGAGUGUUAAUCUUAGAUUAACUUUUGUCUGCUGUAAAAAGGCAGACGAAUAAGGACUGGGUAAGACCGGUGCCAGCCGCCGCGGUAAUACCGGCGGUCCGAGUCGCAUCCACAUUUAUUGGGUCUAAAACAUCCGUAGCUUGUUAUGUAAGUCUCUCGUGAAAUCUCAUGUCUCAAGCAUGAGGCGUGCAAGAGAUACUGCAUUACUAGAGACCAGAAGACGUAAGGAGUAUGAUUGAGGUAGCGGUAAAAUGUGUUAAUCUUAAUCAGACUAACAAUGGCGAAGGCACCUUACGAGUAUGGAUCUGACAGUGGGGGAUGAAGGCUAGGGGCGCAAAACGGAUUAGAUACCCGUGUAGUCCUAGCAGUAAACACUGCCCACUAAACAUCGGUGCCUCCUCGAGAGGCGUCGGUGCUGUAGAGAAGUCGAAGAGUGAGCUACCUGGGAAGUAUAGUCGCAAGGCCGAAACUUAAAGGAAUUGGCGGGGAGGCACUACAACCGGUGACGCGUGCGGUUUAAUUAGAGUAUACACCGUGAAUCUCACCAGGAGCGACAGCAGAAUGAAGGUCAGUCUAAAGGGCUUACCUGACGCGCUGAGAGGAAGUGCAUGGCCAAGGCGAUUU
This 685-nucleotide ribosomal RNA is filed under the name uncultured euryarchaeote. RNAcentral describes it as "bacterial SSU rRNA". It matches the Rfam family "Archaeal small subunit ribosomal RNA", at positions 321 to 1009 of the family's 1478-position model. The record is from RNAcentral. Lineage: Archaea; Methanobacteriati; Methanobacteriota.